CCAGAAGUAGUUAGUCUAGACCUGUCGGGAGGACGAUUACCACGGUGUGAUUCAUGACUGGGGUGAAGUCGUAACAAGGUAACCA
RNAcentral lists this ribosomal RNA (85 nucleotides) under uncultured bacterium. RNAcentral's name for it is "partial 16S ribosomal RNA". The record is from RNAcentral.